AAACUACGUUAAGCGGUGUGAAUUGCAGAACACGCAGAACACUGGAUCUUUGAACGCACAUGGCAGGUUAGUGUUACAACUAGCCUUUGUCUGUGUGAGGGUUGUAGACAGAGAAUGAAGGCUACUUUUAGAAGAGCGGGGAGGUUGCCUGUUGAAUGUGUGACAUGCCCGUUGAUCGGAGUAGAGACACACUUGUGUUGCGCCUCUGGCUGGUGUCGGAGGUAAACGGUAACUGAACGAGUGAUGGGAUUGAGGAGUUUUCUGGAGUUGAUGUGAUCUGAAACAAUCAGUAGUUCCAUAUCCUGAGCUUCUUUCUUACAACCUCACAUCAGGCAAGAUUACCCGCUUAAUUUAA
RNAcentral lists this unclassified non-coding RNA (355 nucleotides) under uncultured fungus. RNAcentral's name for it is "sequence contains ITS1". The stretch from base 1 to 104 matches the Rfam family "5.8S ribosomal RNA", at positions 50 to 154 of the family's 154-position model. Lineage: Eukaryota; Fungi. The record is from RNAcentral.